RNAcentral lists this ribosomal RNA (253 nucleotides) under uncultured bacterium. Its description in RNAcentral is "partial 16S ribosomal RNA". It matches the Rfam family "Bacterial small subunit ribosomal RNA", at positions 524 to 776 of the family's 1533-position model. The record is from RNAcentral.
UACAGAGGGGGCAAGCGUUGUUCAGAAUUACUGGGCGUAAAGGGCGCGUAGGCGGCCUGUUAAGUCGAACGUGAAAUCCCCAGGCUCAACCUGGGAACUGCGUCCGAUACUGGCAGGCUUGAAUCCGGGAGAGGGAUGUGGAAUUCCAGGUGUAGCGGUGAAAUGCGUAGAUAUAGGAAGGAACACCAGUGGCGAAGGCGACCACCUGGACUGAUACUGACACUGAGGUGCGAAAGCGUGGGGAGCAAACAGG